UACGUAGGCAGCGAGCGUUGUUCGGAGUUACUGGGCGUAAAGAGUGCGUAGGCGGUUUUCUAAGUUUGGUGUGAAAUCUCCCGGCUUAACUGGGAGGGUGCGCCGAAGACUGGAAGGCUUGAGUAUGGGAGAGGUAAGCGGAAUUCCUGGUGUAGCGGUGAAAUGCGUAAAUAUCAGGAGGAACACCUGCGGUGUAGACGGCUUACUGGACCAUAACUGACGCUGAGGCACGAAAGCGUGGGGAGCGAACAGG
RNAcentral lists this ribosomal RNA (253 nucleotides) under uncultured bacterium. Its description in RNAcentral is "partial 16S ribosomal RNA". It matches the Rfam family "Bacterial small subunit ribosomal RNA", at positions 524 to 776 of the family's 1533-position model. The record is from RNAcentral.